AUUUUUACUGAAAUAUCUGAGAUCCGGCCUCCAAAAAGUGCAUAAAUAACACUUAAGUGCUAAUAACUUUUGAAAGGGUUGUCAGAUCCUCGAUGUAUUAGGCUCAUUUGAAAGGUCUUUCGAUUAUCUAACUAACGAUGGGUUGCAUGAUGUACCCGGACAUCAUUUUCACAGAAAUAUCUGAGAUCCGGCCUCCAAAAAGUGUACAAAUAACACUUAAGUGCUAAUAACUUUUGAUAGGGUUGUCAGAUCUUCAAUGUAUUGGGCUCAUUGGAAAGGUCUUUUUAAUACCUUUCUGAAAAUGUAUAACAUGAUAGGGUUUCUUGCAAAAACCACCCUUUUUACAAUCUUCCGGACAUACGCCAAAAUCGUUUUUUUAGCAUAACUUUUGAAGUACUUAACUAAACUUGCUAAUUUCAAAUAGAGACCUAUGGGACCCCAAGACGGAUCGAAUGAGACUAAUACGGUCAAAAUCCGUUGAUCCAGUCCGGAGAUAAUCGAGUGACAAUUUUUUUGUCCACCCACCUACACACAUCCACACAGACAUUUGCUCAGAACAUGAUUCUGAGUCGAUAGGUAUACGUGAAGGUGGGUCUACGAGGUCGAUUUAAGAAGUUCAUUUUUCGAGUGAUUUUAUAGCCUUUCCUCAGUAAGGUGAGGAAGGCAAAAACGGUUCUACAUACAAAUAUUAUCCAAACAAUGUUCCAUUGUAUUUAGAUUUUAAGCAGGGUUCUAUGUAGUCAACGUAUGUUUGACGAAUAAAUAAAUAAAGAACAAGUAUAAUAUAUUGCUACAGUUAAACACACAUAUAAAAAUAUAAGGAGAGAAUGUACAAGAUACGAAAUUCGAGAUAGCGGGCGACGAAAGUUAAAGUUGUUAUCAAUCAAAUUGAAUGUAAAUAACAUUCCUUACGUACGUCAGUUGGCAAAGCAAAGUAUGUUUAUCUCUAAAUCAAGGAAUCUUAUAUAUACGGAAUAAAUACAAAAAGCCAACCGCGGUAUGAAUCGUUAAAUUAUAACUUUAGAAUAACUACCAGGACAUAGCUGAAUGUGGCUUUUCGUAAAAUUCGUUUUUUUAAGGAAGAUUCCAGCGAUUUCAGUUUAUAAAAACGAUUUUCAUCUGAAGCCAAGUGAUAAAAAGCUAAAUAGGCGAAGAGCAAUCAAGGUUAUGUAAAAGAUUUAUAUAAUAUAAUUUGAAUAUAAGUAGAAUAUAAUUUGUAAAAGUAGUGGAUGGAAAUAGGACUGAGUUCUUAACAAACUAAACAUAUUUACUUUAACCCUUGGAUGAAGUAUUGUUCUGAAAUUUAUAUUAUUUAACAAUGCUAUUGAAUAAUGUCAUUCAAGCCUUGUGGAAACCCUAAACAAUUUUCAUCCAAUUUAUUGCAUUGUUUUAGCAUUAUUUGUGUACAGUUACUAUCCUUAGCUGAGAUAUAGACUACCCUUCAACAGAUAAUACAUUCAAAGUUAAGUAAAUCUAUCGCAGGAAAAAGAAACCUCCGAAUAGCCAAUAGAAGGGGGAUAGUUCGAUGAAAAGAGUAUUCUUAUAUCACAGUUUAAAUAACUGUAAAGAAGGAAGUUCACUGAAGUACCAUAACGACAUGACACACGUCUGUCAUAAAUACAUUAAUUUUAGUUAGGAGAGGAAGCCUUAUACAGUUUUCAGUCAAAUUGAUGUUAUAUUGAUACGGUUAAAUAUGUUACAAAGAGGUUUAUGAUUUCCUAUAUGCAUGAUAUACGUGGUUUUCAUUUUUUUAUUUUACUUUUCAGAGCUUGGUAUACUGCUCAUUUUUGUUUUUUUUUUAUUCAUUUUUUCCUUAUUUUAGUUGAAUCGGAGGAAGACAGGAAAGUUGGACGAUCAAUGAUUACGCAAAGAAGGGAACUGGAUCCGCAUCACUGGCAUCGUUGGUAUCGGCUGGUAUCAGCAUCAUUGGUAUCGGCAGCCUAAGCCGAUAGCCUUUGUUCUAUGGGAAGGACACUUCACCAGGCGUUGCAAAACUUGAGACGAGAAGCGGCAGAAAGGAUUUUAGUUAAACAUUAACUUUAUUGUUUCGUUAGUGUACUUAUUAUAACUUUCAAUUUGGCAAGGGGAGGAUGUGGCAUCCUGAACAUUGUGGUUCCUAAAUAUUAGUGUAGUUUAGGUAAACCGCUGGAAGCGUGUAGAACUGCGAGUGUAGUAGUGCGCAGCUGGCGUGAGGGAAGUCAGUCAGAGUUGGACCAAUAAAGAUGGAGCAUCUGUCUCCCGUUUGUAUUAUAAAUAAUAAAGUUUUAAUAUUGGAUUAAACUCGAGAAUAUCACAAGCACCAACCCUCAGAGUUUUGCAUCCAAAUAGGUACGUCGCGUUAAAACGUCCAGCAGGACAAGUUUACACAGAUCACGUGGGCCUAGGAGUUCUGCACCUGAUAAUAAUAUCAGCCACGCAGUUCCCUGACCCUUGAAUGCGGCAAGUUGCAGACAUUUGAUUUCCUGCUGAAUUAUAUUAAAUCGAUUUGGCACCGGGGUGCUCCGAUGCCUCUACACAUUCUGGACGUUCUGGAGGCGUUCCUUAACUACCACGGUCCUGUAAACCUGCGGCUAGACGGAAAAGCGAAUGUUUGUGUUUAAACGGUCGACUCGUCCGGAGGCGUCCGUACAGACUCCGUCAUCUUCUUAACGAUUCUGACUCAAAUCCUACCAGAGACGCGCAGGCGCAGAAUCGGUGCUAAAAGUUGGGGCUGCGGCCACUUUACGGCGGUCUUCUUCAAGAGUUGUACUCGUCGGCGCGGCUUGCCGAGGUCAUUGAACGCGUGCUCGACGCAAGAGGCGUGGUUCAGUUAAUCAUCGACAAACCGGUGAAGACACAACUUCUAAGACUACGAUGCUGCCACCUAAGUUCGCCUCGCGGACAAUUGCAUUCUAGGAGUCUACGGGCAACGGACUGGAUAAAACGUUCCACACAGAAAAAAAAAAUCCGGUAAAUUUACAUCAUUUAUGAUGUACCAAAAGUGCACGUCAUUAAUGAUGUGAAUUUACAUCAAAUUCAUUGUAAAUUUAAGUGUCUUCCAAUUUAAUCGUGCCGAACCAAAAGCGCUACAAAAACAUGUAAAUUUCCGAUGAAAUGUACGUAAAUUUACCCAAGCCAAAAAAUUUUUUUGCUCCGCUGAAUUUGGAAUUCGAUGUAAUUUUCAUGGUUUUAGUUUUUCAUGCUGCACUCAAAUGCUACUUCAAAAAAAUGCGUUUUCGAUUGGAUUAUAAGCAAUCAAAAAACAUUCCAAUGAAAAGCAUUUAAUGACAGUAUAAAAAUAAAAUAAUUUGAAAACAACAUCGAACGCCAAAUCCAACAGAGCAUCAAGAAUACAAUCUUACUAAACAUGAAUCAAUAUUAUCGAAGAAAUCAAAACAAAAUUAAAAUUUGUACCUGGGAAUUGAAUAGAUCGCUUUAAAGCAUAACCUUGGCAUUCUCUAUUGCAAGAUUUAUGCUCAAACCUGGUGUCUGAAGGCUUGCUCCCAUUUACCCCGGGAUUCGAAUUGUUGACCUUUCGAUUGUAAGUGCAACUGACGACAAUUAUUUCUACCGAAGCUGGUGUAUACUUUUUCCAGGAAGACGACUUCUAUACUUGGACUGACCUAACGUCCAAUAUUUGAAUUAAAACUGGGACUAACUGAAGUGAGAGGAAACAAUGCUAUCCACAAUCGAGUCUGGCUGAAAAAAACAUUUAAAAAAUCCAAACUUACUACAUUAUUUGUAUGUUGUCAUCAGCCGACACGAUGUCACUGGUCCAUGCUCUCGAUAUGGUUAUGCUGCCGUUGCUGUUGUAUUGUUUCAAUCACGGCCGGCCGUGAAACGUCGAAACCCUGCACAAGCUCGUCACAUAGUCAUCACUGAUCACCUGAAGCGUUGCCCCGUCCGCACCUCCUUGGCAGCACGUGACGUUAUGAUUAAACUCCGUUCCUAGUGCAAAAGUAGCCACCGGUUCCACCUCUGGUGCAACGCUCGCCGGAUGUAACAGCAUAAUUGAAGUUUUAGUGAAAUUCCUGUCUGUUGUUUACAUCGCGAGAGUGCCGUUUAACCCACCGUUUGAAGCGGAAGGCUUCAACAGAAGAACGGCCGCUUCUUCUAUGGGCAAAGUUGGCUCGACGUUUUCUUAUCUGCUUUUUUUACCGUUGGAGCUACCACCUCCUUCAUGGGAUCGCUCGUCAUGUUGGCCGGAACUAGCAAAAAUAUGGGCGAUUCCAAAAUCGGUCAACAACCAUACCUUUUUGCGACAGUUCCCCAGCAUUGCCGACUGGAUAAACAACUGCUUUGGCUCGUCUGCACCUUGAUCAAGCCGUGAAACCC
Molecule: long non-coding RNA, 4314 nt
Organism: Culex pipiens pallens (northern house mosquito)
Lineage: Eukaryota; Metazoa; Arthropoda; Insecta; Diptera; Culicidae
Exons: 3
Source: RefSeq, a predicted model, not a curated record